GACGAACCGAGCGAACGUUGUUCGGAAUCACUGGGCUUAAAGGGCGCGUAGGCGGCCCACCAAGUCAGAUGUGAAAGCCCCGGGCUUAACCUGGGAAUAGCAUUUGAGACUGAUGGGCCUGAGUUCCGGAGAGGUGGGUGGAAUUCCCAGUGUAGAGGUGAAAUUCGUAGAUAUUGGGAAGAACACCGGUGGCGAAGGCGGCCCACUGGACGGACACUGACGCUGAGGCGCGAAAGCGUGGGGAGCAAACAGG
Molecule: ribosomal RNA, 253 nt
Filed under: uncultured bacterium
Lineage: Bacteria
Description: partial 16S ribosomal RNA
Rfam family: Bacterial small subunit ribosomal RNA
Source: RNAcentral